Molecule: small nuclear RNA, 121 nt
Organism: Malania oleifera
Lineage: Eukaryota; Viridiplantae; Streptophyta; Magnoliopsida; Santalales; Ximeniaceae
Product: U5 spliceosomal RNA
Exons: 1
Source: RefSeq, a predicted model, not a curated record
AGUCGUGGAGUGAGCACAAAGUGAACUAUUCUUUCGCCUUUUACUAAAAAAUAUUGUGUGCUCGCUGCUUAUGGCGACAUACUCCAAUUUUUUUUUAAGGAGCCUACUCAGAUUGGCUCCU